GACGAACGCUGGCGGCGUGCUUAACACAAGCAAGUCGAACGGAAAGGCCCCUUUGGGGGUACUCGAGUGGCGAACGGGUGAGUAACACGUGAGUAACCUGCCCUUGACUUCGGGAUAACUUCAGGAAACUGGGGCUAAUACCGGAUAGGAAUCCUUGCUGCAUGGUGGGGGUUGGAAAGCUUCGGCGGUUUUGGAUGGACUCGCGGCUUAUCAGCUUGUUGGUGGGGUAGUGGCUUACCAAGGCUUUGACGGGUAGCCGGCCUGAGAGGGCGACCGGCCACAUUGGGACUGAGAUACGGCCCAGACUCCUACGGGAGGCAGCAGUGGGGAAUAUUGCACAAUGGGCGGAAGCCUGAUGCAGCAACGCCGCGUGCGGGAUGACGGCCUUCGGGUUGUAAACCGCUUUCAGCAGGGGCGAAGCUUGUGGUGACGGUACCUGCAGAAGAAGCACCGGCUAACUACGUG
This 465-nucleotide ribosomal RNA is filed under the name uncultured bacterium. Its description in RNAcentral is "partial 16S ribosomal RNA". It matches the Rfam family "Bacterial small subunit ribosomal RNA", at positions 28 to 507 of the family's 1533-position model. The record is from RNAcentral.